GCCAGUGUGGUGCAGUGAUGUGCUGGACUGCAACUCUGGAGACCUGGGUUCGAUUCCCAGCUUGUUG
This is a non-coding RNA of Phrynosoma platyrhinos (Desert horned lizard), 67 nucleotides long. Lineage: Eukaryota; Metazoa; Chordata; Lepidosauria; Squamata; Phrynosomatidae. The record is from the annotation of a GenBank genome assembly.